UUACGGCCACAUCAGGUUGAAACACCUGUUCCCGUACGAUCACUGAAGUUAAGCAACGUCGAGCAUAGACAGUACCUAGAUAGGAGACGUCAUGGGAAUAUUAGGUGAUGCAAG
Non-coding RNA from Acanthosepion pharaonis, 114 nucleotides. NCBI's taxonomy places the organism in Eukaryota, Metazoa, Mollusca, Cephalopoda, Sepiida, Sepiidae. The record is from the annotation of a GenBank genome assembly.